Molecule: ribosomal RNA, 254 nt
Filed under: uncultured bacterium
Lineage: Bacteria
Description: partial 16S ribosomal RNA
Rfam family: Bacterial small subunit ribosomal RNA
Source: RNAcentral
CUUUCUUUGCUGGCGACCGGCGCACGGGUGAGUAACACGUAUCCAACCUGCCCUUUACUCGGGGAUAGCCUUUCGAAAGAAAGAUUAAUACCCGAUAGCAUAAUGAUUCCGCAUGGUUUCAUUAUUAAAGGAUUCCGGUAAAGGAUGGGGAUGCGUUCCAUUAGGUUGUUGGUGAGGUAACGGCUCACCAAGCCUUCGAUGGAUAGGGGUUCUGAGAGGAAGGUCCCCCACGUUGGAACUGAGACACGGUCCAA